RNAcentral lists this unclassified non-coding RNA (367 nucleotides) under soil metagenome. RNAcentral's name for it is "partial contains 5.8S ribosomal RNA, internal transcribed spacer 2, and large subunit ribosomal RNA". The stretch from base 1 to 122 matches the Rfam family "5.8S ribosomal RNA", at positions 35 to 154 of the family's 154-position model. The record is from RNAcentral.
GAUGAAGAACGCAGCGAAAUGCAAUACUUGGUGUGAAUUGCAGAAUCCCGUGAACCAUCGAGUUUUUGAACGCAAGUUGCGCCCGAAGCCGUUAGGCCGAGGGCACGCCUGCCUGGGUGUCACACAUCGUUGCCCCAAUGCCAAUCGCCUCACUUUGUAGGUAUUUGCUUGGGGUGAAUGUUGGCCUCCCGUGAGCUUUGUCUCACGGUUGGUUGAAAAUCGAGUGCAUGGUGUCGGGUGUACCAUGAUGGAUGGUGGUUGAGUGAUGAUGCUCGGUGACCCACAUGCGUCCCUUGGAUGCUCCCUAAGGAGACCUCAGGUCAGGCGGGGCUACCCGCUGAGUUUAAGCAUAUCAAUAAGCGGAGGA